UAGGGAAUCUUCGGCAAUGGACGAAAGUCUGACCGAGCAACGCCGCGUGAGUGAAGAAGGUUUUCGGAUCGUAAAACUCUGUUGUUAGAGAAGAACAAGGACGUUAGUAACUGAACGUCCCCUGACGGUAUCUAACCAGAAAGCCACGGCUAACUACGUGCCAGCAGCCGCGGUAAUACGUAGGUGGCAAGCGUUGUCCGGAUUUAUUGGGUGUAAAGCGAGCGCAGGCGGUUUCUUAAGUCUGAUGUGAAAGCCCCCGGCUCAACCGGGGAGGGUCAUUGGAAACUGGGAGACUUGAGUGCAGAAGAGGAGAGUGGAAUUCCAUGUGUAGUGGUGAAAUGCGUAGAUAUAUGGAGGAACACCAGUGGCGAAGGCGGCUCUCUGGUCUGUAACUGACGCUGAGGCUCGAAAGCGUGGGGAGCAAACAGG
RNAcentral lists this ribosomal RNA (429 nucleotides) under Gemmatimonadota bacterium. RNAcentral describes it as "Gemmatimonadetes bacterium partial 16S ribosomal RNA". It matches the Rfam family "Bacterial small subunit ribosomal RNA", at positions 355 to 776 of the family's 1533-position model. Lineage: Bacteria; Pseudomonadati; Gemmatimonadota. The record is from RNAcentral.